AGAUUAAGAUAUAAGGAGUAGAUAUUUUCCUGAAGAUCUCAUUUAUGUCUCGAAUGUGAAGGGAACAGAAGCUAUCAUGAUGAUUCUUUAAAGAAAAGAUACAGAAACACAAGCUCCUGUAGACACUUAUGAAAAAGAAGAUGUUUUUGCAAUGAAUAUGUGUGAAUGUGAUAAAUUAUGGCAAAUCAACAUGGUCAAUUAACAACAAUAUGUUCUACAAAUUUCCUAGAUUUAUAAGUUUCAUAACAUUUAGUUGAGGCAAACUAAAGUUAGAUAACGGAAAACGAA
This 288-nucleotide long non-coding RNA is filed under the name Mytilus galloprovincialis (Mediterranean mussel). The record is from RNAcentral. Lineage: Eukaryota; Metazoa; Mollusca; Bivalvia; Mytilida; Mytilidae.